AACGCGAAGAACCUUACCAAGGCUUGACAUGCAAUUGCACCAUCCGUAAUGGGAUGUCCCUUCGGGGCGGUUGCACAGGUGCUGCAUGGCUGUCGUCAGCUCGUGUCGUGAGAUGUUGGGUUCAGUCCCGCAACGAGCGCAACCCCUGCCGCUAGUUAAUCUGUCUAGCGGGACCGCCGCGAUCAACGCGGAGGAAGGCGGGGAUGACGUCAAGUCAGCACGGCCCUUACGCCUUGGGCUACACACACGCUACAAUGGUCGGAACAACGGGCAGCCAACCCGCGAGGGGGAGCCAAUCCCAUCAAAUCCGGCCUCAGUUCAGAUUGUAGGCUGAAACCCGCCUGCAUGAAGGAGGAGUUGCUAGUAACCGUGGGUCAGCACACCACGGUGAAUACGUUCCCGGGCCUUGUACACACCGAGACGUA
Molecule: ribosomal RNA, 425 nt
Filed under: uncultured bacterium
Lineage: Bacteria
Description: bacterial SSU rRNA
Rfam family: Bacterial small subunit ribosomal RNA
Source: RNAcentral